UGGCGUUCCAGAAAAGCCAGCACAGGACA
RNAcentral lists this non-coding RNA (29 nucleotides) under Homo sapiens (human). The record is from RNAcentral. Lineage: Eukaryota; Metazoa; Chordata; Mammalia; Primates; Hominidae.